Molecule: ribosomal RNA, 221 nt
Filed under: Salmonella enterica
Lineage: Bacteria; Pseudomonadati; Pseudomonadota; Gammaproteobacteria; Enterobacterales; Enterobacteriaceae
Description: partial 16S ribosomal RNA
Rfam family: Bacterial small subunit ribosomal RNA
Source: RNAcentral
UUAAAUUGAAGAGUUUGAUCAUGGCUCAGAUUGAACGCUGGCGGCAGGCCUAACACAUGCAAGUCGAACGGUAACAGGAAGCAGCUUGCUGCUUUGCUGACGAGUGGCGGACGGGUGAGUAAUGUCUGGGAAACUGCCUGAUGGAGGGGGAUAACUACUGGAAACGGUGGCUAAUACCGCAUAACGUCGCAAGACCAAAGAGGGGGACCUUCGGGCCUCUC